Brienomyrus brachyistius is the source of this 603-nucleotide long non-coding RNA. RefSeq lists it as uncharacterized. The record is from RefSeq and is a predicted model, not a curated record. Lineage: Eukaryota; Metazoa; Chordata; Actinopteri; Osteoglossiformes; Mormyridae. The transcript has 3 exons.
GAUUACAUUGUUAGCUUGAAGGGAUUAGCAACCACACGUGUUUUUAGCGCUACCUUGGAAGAACAGCUCUUGCGUCAGUUAGUAUUUGGAACGUCUAGCCGAGAACUACGCCGGAAUCUGUUGGAUGCCGUUGGUGGUGAAUGACUGGAAUGGCAGAAAUGAUGUAAAUUACCAACAGCUUCGAGUUCACUAAUGCUGGUCUGGAAAGCAUACAGAAGGGACAAGGACGGAUCUAGUCGGUGCACACAAACACCGCGAGCUUCAGUGAAUUCGUCGGACGGAGCAUCGAGAAUGUGAGACGGAUCGACGACGAACUUUCUUGAAAGAAAAAUUGAGCCGUGAACAACAGCAAAAGAAUGAUGAUGCAAAAAAUGGACUGGCAUGAGGCUGUUCGCGGGUUAUAAACCAUCUACUCAAAGCACUACUGCCCCUGGGUGUGACUUUUUAGAUGUUUAUCCUUCAAAUGGUCAGCAGACGGGACCAGCCGCCAGUAUUCCUCCUGCCUACUGAUGUCCUCGCAGAAGGACGGCAGGUGGAACAGACACUGCAGGGUGGCGUUCAUGUAGCAGGUCUGCCCAAGGUUUGGUAGCCUGGAAGACAGAG